Molecule: long non-coding RNA, 2990 nt
Organism: Limulus polyphemus (Atlantic horseshoe crab)
Lineage: Eukaryota; Metazoa; Arthropoda; Merostomata; Xiphosura; Limulidae
Exons: 3
Source: RefSeq, a predicted model, not a curated record
UGGUGAUCAAAUCUCAUUGAAGGAAGGUCGGGGCUCAAAGAGGGUUUUUACAAAACUCCAACCUGUCAUUUUUUGAGGGGUUUAGUAACUGACAGCUAUAUGGUCUGAAGGUCUGGGACAAUGGAAUAAUAAUUUGGACAUCUGAGCGUCGUCUUCACGUUGUUGGGCUCUGUUUAUCCAGAUGAAGAAAUCAAAGUUGUCCUUCACGAAUAAUUAAUGGCUUUUCCAACAAGAUCCUAAAAGGAAAAUAGAAAAAGAAAAAUGAUUCGAGCCAGUUUCCUUGAUACUGACUUUUUUGGAAGCUAAACCUGUUAAGUGUUGCUUUUAGUUAUGCAUGUUCAGAUAAAAGGAAUUAUUAGGCAGAGUAAUUCCAAUGGAUUCAAAUAAUAUGAUCAUCAUUUGCAAACUGAAAUUUUUAUUACGCUUCAAUUGCCGUAAAAAAUAAUUUCAUAACGAGACCAUUAGAUGAGUGCUAAUGUUGGACGUGCAUUCAGUUGUAUACUGAAAAUUUUACCAUAAGGAUGUAAUACAUUAAUAUUUAUUUAUUUGCAACAGUAAAAAUUUAAUGUUAUUACUUUUAUCCUCUGAAGUUGUUAAAUCCAAAGAAAUAUUGUACCAUCUCUCUUUGGAUUCAGACUUCAAAGGUUAAAGGGAAUAACAUUACUUGUAUAGCCUGUACUAUAACAUUAUUUAUAAAUUAUUUUUAUUUAUUACUGUUGUUAUAUCAAGUAUUUUACAUGAUAAAAAAAAGAGCUCUUAUAAUAGUAACAUAACUGAAUUUUUACUACAUUACACUUCUUUUUCCAUACACACAGAAUAAUACCUUUGGAAUAUUGUGUUGAUCACUUCAAUGUUUACUCUGUAUCCAAUGAUAAUUUUCAAUUUGAUUUAAUAUAUUUAAAUUUAUUUUAACAUAGUUACCAAAAACGUUACCUACGGUAGUAUGCUAAUAUCUUUAAUAAACAUAAUAGUGUGGUUUUUUAUGCUGCUUUUUUAUAUAUGAACAACUUUUUGCUUGUAUGUACUUAAAAUACUUCUACUUUAUAGACUGGCACAAAUAUUUCAUUUUAUUUGAAAGAAAACAAAACACAAAUAAUGGACCUUAGUUUGAGAAGGAGAAAGAGCCCAUUUGUGACGACAAUGCAUUUAAUGCAUUUGAGCACGUUAUAUUAAAUCAUUUUCAGUAUACUAAUCAGCAGGUCACUUGACAACAGGAAUCAAUAUAAAGACGCUGGAAUGUCAUGUAUCAGAACUACAUUUUGACAUUGUUCAGCAUCUUGUAGCUAAUAUGAUGCCAUAAACAACUGUUCAAUAUGGAAGAAGGAUAUGUAACAACCCUUUCUGAAUCAAAAUAUUCAUAUACACUCAGAUCAUAGAGAUGUGUUCAAAUCGGAAGAAAUUCCAAGGUGGGCAUAUCUUUUAUGCUUAGUAGUAUUUGAAAGGAAAAUAAUAUGGAUCAACAUGGGGAACCAAGUUCAUCCAGAAAGGGGUCCAAACCAUGGUAAACAAAUUACAGAGUUUUGGAACAGACGAGAAUCCAUGAACACAAAGGUCAAUGGAAAAAUCCACUUUUCUCGGGCAACACUAUGGAAAAUAUUGAAAGAUCCCAGUUUAGGAAAUGGACAUUCAUUCGUUCAACUAUUACAUACCUGAAGUAGCUUGAUAAUGAAACAUUUAUCGUGAUACUUCACACCAAUAAAUGGCUUGCCACCAAAUGGGAACUCUAUAUUAGUUAUGUCAUGAAGAAAUCACAUUAUUAUUAUUACAUUUAAAGGGGUAAGGAUAUCAUUAGAGCUUCAUAUAAGAUGAAAAGGCUUGCAUCUCUUAGAGCACACAUACGGGAAAGUAGGAGCUAUUGUCUAGCAGUGGCAUUGGUAGCUAUGGAAGGUACAACAAUUAGGAAGGAAAGUUGCAGCAAUACUAUUUCAAGCAGAUACAAUAUGAUCUUGACCUUGAAGUUUAGAUGCUAAAUAAUUAUAAGCAUAAAUUUUCUCUAACCCUUCAGAACUAUCUAGAAAGAAAUGAUAGUUUAAGGGGUUAAGUUCAAUAGUAAAAUCAUUCAUUGCCCAGAGAAAGCGCGUGCAAUGGCGUAUUGUUCUCUAUUUAAAGUAUGUUUAACUUCAAGGCUGUGUUGUAAUUGAAACUAAUUGUAUACAGGAAAACGUACUUGCAUAGCAGACAAAUGAAAAUACAUUAAACCUUUUACAUGUUCCACCGAGAUGAUAGAAGAUCCUGAAGAUCAGGAUGUUUUGCAAUAGGCUACGGUUGACAAUGAUGAUAAUUCAGUAAAGUGCAAGAUGAGAGAAUCAAUCGCUUGAUAGGAAGUGGAGGAAGGAAAGAGGUGGGGCCAUUAUUAGUGAAUAAGGUUGUGAUAAAAACAAUUCAGAGUUAGUCCUUAUUUUUGAUAGUUAAUAUUUUUAUUUGUACGAGUAAAAACGAUUACAUAGUAAAUAAAUUGGGUUAUUGUUCAAACCUUCAAAUGAAUACUACAGAAAGUAUUAAGCAACUUUAGUACAGGAAGGAAAAGGGGAUCAAUGGUUGCAAUAAACUGGUAAAACAUGUCAGUACUAAGUUGAUCAGAAAAAUGUAGAAACAGCUACCACACCACCAGUUAUAAGUUAUUAUGGUGUUCAAAAUUAAGUUUUAAAGAAAGAUAACAUAAUAAUAAUCGCUAAAGCAUACAGAGUUUCCAGAUCCACAAACACGUCUUUUCUACAUAGUUACACAAACUUUUAAAUAGGUCAACAGACAACUUUCAGAAAUAUUUGAACAAAAAUACUCCACAAAGAAUAUUGAAAACAUUAUCGUACAUGAUGAAGAUACACGUCAUUAAAAUCUGGUUAUGCCAUAAAGCAUGUUGUUACACUUAUACUGUGAGCUAAAAAUGGCUGCUGCUAUGACUUUGCUUAGUUUAUGAGCUCGUUGCUGUCCUAAUUUUGAAUCUUCUUUUAAAUAAGCUCUUAAAAAUAUUAAAAAACAGAGAGAAAGGG